RNAcentral lists this long non-coding RNA (31601 nucleotides) under Vitis vinifera (wine grape). RNAcentral's name for it is "long non-coding RNA (VVIN_LNC006707)". The record is from RNAcentral. Lineage: Eukaryota; Viridiplantae; Streptophyta; Magnoliopsida; Vitales; Vitaceae.
UGUCACUUACUCUGGCAAUGGUACUCCCUUUCAAAGUACUUUUUCAAACUAUUGAGUCUGGCUACUUCAGAUAUGAAAAGAAUAGUGCUACCUUCAAUGGUCAUUGCAAACCAUUUAGGUUCCCGAGCUUGAGAAGCUUCAAAGAUGGGAAUUAACCAAUCUCAUGUUUUACUCAUUUCAGCAGUAUAUGCUGCUCACUCAACUCUCAGCUAUAGACCACACAUGGGCAUAAAAAAAUCAACAUUGCAAGCAGAGUAUGACACUUCUAACAAACUGAUUGCGAAGUAAUAAACAAUAAAGGGAUCAAAAGCAUAAACCUAACUAGAAAGAAUGGUUGUGACCAGUAACAAAAACUGAGGGCUAAGGUCGGUGAUGCAAUUGAGAUAACCCUUUUCAUAUUCAUCCACCAUCCAUAACUGGACAACAUUUGUCUCUGGAACAUUGAAGGGCUCAAACAGCAUAAUUGCAUUGUCAUGGUAGCUCAAGCACUCACAAAUAGCAUGGAAAACAAUUCUCUUUUGCUUGUGUACCCAACUGUACAAUUAAAAAUGAAAGAAAAGGCAGAAGUAGAGGAAAUAUUAAUCUAUCAGUGUCUGUCUCCAGCCUAUUAAUCAUGAUGAAUAUUACCAGAAUAAUGUAAUAUUUGUAACUGACGGGUUCUAAAACAAUAAACAUGAACCGAAAAAUGUAGGAAGAGAGGUUCGCAGUGAAAACCUGGAAUUGUGGAAGACUCACUCAAAUUAAAAGAGACCAGUGAGUCCUUCAUGCACCAGCCAUCCAUUACUUGUCAAUAGAAAUUUGUCCUUUUCCUUUUGGCAUCUUCUCCUUAUGUAUUAAGGGAUUUUGAGGCUAUGUAGAGUGCCAAUGGAUUGUUACCUUCCAGUGGUGUCAAGCCACCAAUCCAUAUGGUUACGAGGCUUCCCUUUGAAUUGUGUGCCACUGUCAUCAUCCUCAUUCUCAAACAGAUGUUCUUCUUAGCGGCUGUGACAUGCUGAAUAUGUUGAAACAGAGACAUUGUUCUCUGCACAGACAGUUUAAAGUCUUGGAGAGAAGGGAGGUGUCACAGUCCCACCUCAAGCAGAGAUAUUUGGAGACUUCCAUGAAGACAAGGCCAAUGUGAACUCCAAUCAGCUUUAGUUCCUCACUAUUUUGAAGAUGCAAAAUUUUCAAAAACUUAGUGAUCUAUGCAUUUAUUCGAACAUAUAGACAGUAACAUUAUAAAAAUUGAAGCUGUUAAAAGCAGGACAGAAUAUUGGAUUGCAAACCUGAAAUUUGUUGUAGAUGACAUGCUUCAAUUGAAGAACAGAAAUCCUAUUAAAUCAGGUACCAUAGCUAGUCAAUAUCAAUUUCAGGAAAGUUGAAGUGUUGAGUGACACAUUCCUUCCGGCAGUGAUUUCAAUUCCAGGCCAACAACAUUUUCAAGCUCAUUAAGAGAUGUCAGGCUGUCUUCUAGUCCGGUAAAGUUACAAAACAAGAGAAAUUGAUGAUUUUAAGGAUUUCCAGAAUGUUACCAUUUCCAAGCUCCAAUAGCGGAAGCAUCAACUCAUUAUUCGACAAAAAAAGCUCUUUGCAACAUUUAUUCCACCUCUCAAAGGUGAUUAAAUGUUGCAUCCACUGAUAGAGAUGUCCAAGCCCCACCAUUAUCCCUUUUUACAUUGAAUUUACACCAAUUACAUCUGCAAGAAAAUAGUUAACCUGAGAAACUUCCAAACACAAAUUGCAAGAUCAUUUUAGCAAAACAGAACUAGGAAUUGAUAUCUUUAAAGAUACAUUUUCAAACUUUACUAACUACAAGCAUGCUUUCAGGCCACAAAGGUUCAACUAAAUUAUAAUAUUAAUGGAACAUUGCAUUUUCUCUAUGCUAACUCUAUCAAUGGUUGACAUAAUAAUCAAGUGUUUUUGUCUAUGCUAAUACAUACACAGCAUAGAGAAGACAAGGAGUGUAGAAAAUCAAUGAUGAUGUAGUCAUCAAUAGUGGGAGAAGGAUUACCUGAAUUGAAAAGAAAGCAAAAUUCAUUUCUGCAUGAAUCAUCUAAGAGUAUAAAUUUUUGGGCCAUGUGAAAUUUUAGGCAAAUUCAAGACUGAUCCCCCUUUGGGCUUUAGGCCAAUGAAUAAUCUCGAGUUUCGAAUUUGCAAGAAAUAGUAACUAAAUCAACCCUAGUGUUUUCCAAAAAUCUUAGGAUGUAAAAAUUAAAGUAACAUGAUUACCUUGGUCCUCAAUUACCAAUUAAGAACUUGUCUAAUUGUACAUUGAUUGGAAGAUGCAACAUUUUCAUACUCAGUGAUCUAAGCAUUUUUCCAAAUAGACUGGGGAAAAAAAAUGAUAAAAAUUGAAGCUAUUAAAAACAGGAAGAAACAUUGGAUUGCAAACCUGAAAUACAUUAUAGAGGACAUGCUUGAAUUAUAGAACAGAAAUCCUUUAUGAAUCAGCCAACCAUGUCAAUUUCGAGAACAUUGAAGUGCUGAGGGGACACAUCCCCCUCUGGCAGUGAUUUCAAUUUAAGGCUGACAGCAUUCUGAAGCUCAUUAAGAGAGGUCGGGUUGUUUAUUCAGUCUGAUAAAGCUGCUAAACAAGAACAGUUGAUGUGAGGUUACCAAUACAGUCUAGUAAUGUUGUCAAACUAGAAUGAUCCCAAAUUGUGAGUCUUUGUAGAGUGCUGAGGGAAUCCAUCUCGUCUAGUGGUGAUAUCAAUUGAGGGCAAGAAUGAAUUCAGAGCUCUACAAGUAAUGUGAGUCUGCUUAUCCAGCCUGGGAAUGUUGUCAAUUCAGAACAGAGAAGAGAGCCUGUCCCUCAGCAAGUGAGCAAAGCCUUUCCUAUUUCACCAGCUCUCAAUAGCCUAUCAAGAUAUAUCAGGAGGCAUGGGCAAUAUUAAGCUUAUCUUCACCAUCACCUUCUUUUGCAUUAUCUUGAAAACUAUUAACACCUGUAACAAAAUAUUUAGUUUAAGAAAGCUUCCAAAUGUAUAGAAAGCAAAGAUGAGAUAAGAAAAUCAUUUCAACAAACAUAUUUCGUUUCAUGUCUCAAACUAUUAAGAGUACUUUCAGGAAUGAGAAAAAUGAUGCUACAAAUUGCCUUUUAGUGAAAGUAAAGAUGAUCUCAAUACCAUUAUUGCUUUAGUCCAUAGCAUUUUAAUUCAAAGGUCAACAAGCCUGACAUAAAGGGUGACCAGAUUGUCAUAUGAUUCAAUAAGAUGCACUCCUUGUGCAAAUUGUUGGUUUCUACUACAUAUGAAAAUUAGAAAAAUCAAAACUCAAACAGAAUGUGAAAGUCUUUAACAAAUUGAAUGGGAAGUAAUAAAUUAGCAAUCAACAGUUUUAACAUGUAAAAAGCAAAGGCCAACAACGUAGAUUCACANNNNNNNNNNNNNNNNNNNNNNNNNNNNNNNNNNNNNNNNNNNNNNNNNNNNNNNNNNNNNNNNNNNNNNNNNNNNNNNNNNNNNNNNNNNNNNNNNNNNUUUUGGAAAAAAAAAAUUUUUCUCAAUCCCUUUUUUUUUUUGGCCCAUACCUUUUAAUUUAAAGGGCCACAAACCUAAAAAAAAGGGGGCCCCAAUUUUUCAUUGGUUCAAAAAAAACCCCCCCUUGGGAAAAUUUUUUGUUUUUUCCUAAUUAAAAAAUUAAAAAAAACAAAACCCAAACCAAAUUGGAAAGUUUUUAAAAAAUUUAAGGGGAAAUAAAAAAUUUGCCACCCACCUUUUUAAAAUGUAAAAAACAAAGGCCCACCAGGGAAUUUUAACACCCCCCCCCCCCCCCCCCCCCCCCCCCCCCCCCGCCCCCCCCUUUAUACAUGCUAGUGCAUAUGAGAAUUAGGAAAACAAAAUUUUAAACGAAGUAUUCAAACUCUUAGAAGAUUGAUUGUAUAAUAAAUGAAAUCUUCAAAAACAGGAGAAAUGUUUUAUUACAAACCUGAAUUUCUAGUCGACAUCAAUUGUGGGAACUUGAGAAAUUUCAGGAGGUCAGUCUUCGGCAUGUUUCUAAGCAUAGAUAAUAGGCUCACAGCGCAUAUUAGGGUAGUCAACAACUGAAGGCCAAACCGUAGAGAUAGCUUGUGAGGCUUCAAGGGUAGUGAUUAGGAAUCACUUGAGACAGACACAUUAGGACACAACAGCUUUGAAUUUUUAAUAGCUUGAGAAAAGUGAGGUGUGGAAUCAUUGCAAAAGAUAAUCCUAGCUUUCCAGUUACUGAAGGGAAAUGAGGUGUUUCAGCCACAAUGCUAUCUGCUUUUGCUUACAACACUAUCAGCCACAAAGCCAUUUCAGGGAAAUGAAGAAUUAUCACAAAUCUCUUAAAUAAGGUGAAUCUUCUAUGAGAUAUUAACAAUAUUAAGGUCAUUGAAUUAUAAUUUUAUGCCAUCAUUAGCAAUUGAAUUGAAGAGCAAAACUUCCAAACUUCCUCAUUUAAGCAUUUUAUCUAAAGGAGAAGGUGUACGUUUCAUACCUGAAAUGGCUUUCUGCAUCAAACCCGUCAUCCACUUUUAUUCGGACAUGAGCAAUCUUGGGCCAGUCUUCACCUUUUUCCCUUUGGCAUCUUUUAGAUAAGUAUGGACAUUCGGAGAUUUCGAGUAGGUAGAGGGUUGUGAGGGAACGCAUCUCUUCUGGCAGUGAUGUCAAUUUAGGGCAUUUACGAAUUUGAAGGUAUUCAAGUGAUGAGAGGCUACCUAUCCAAGCUGGUAAUGUUGUCAAACUAGACCAGUCGUGAAUUGUGAGACUCUUGAGGAUUCUAAGACAAUGCAAUUCUUCUGGCAAUGAAGUCAAUUCAGGACAAGUACCAAUUUCAAGAUCAGUCAGCGAGGUGAGGCCGCCUAUCCAGCUUGGUAAUGAUGCCAAACCACAAGAGUAGUCAAUUGAGAGUGUGUGUAGGGCAGUGAGGGAAUGCAUCUCUUGGGGUAAUGAUGUCAAUUUAGGACAAUUUGUGAUUCGAAGGUGUGUAAGCGAGGUGAGGUUGCCUAUCCAAUGUGGUAAUGUUGCAAAAUGAGAGCAGUCCCCAAUUUUGAGAGUUUGAAGAGUGGAAAUAUGUUGAUGAAGCUCAUCUGGGAGAGACAUCAAAUCAUCUAUGUCUUGAAUCCUCACAGACUUCAAUGAAGAAGCAGUGGCCGACAUUAACUCCCGCAAUACCCCCUCUUUCACUUCAUUCAGACACAGACUCUCAAGGCAAGGUAAGGAAGACAGUUUCAAGGAUGUGGGCUUAAGGCAAUGGGAGAUGUAUAAACUAGAAAGAAGAUGAGAUGAAUGCAGUUCCAAGGAUGCCAAGUCACCACAAUACCUAAUCUCUAAUUGUGAAAGAAGAGGAGAUGAAGGUAGUAGUAAGGAUGUCAACUUAGGGCAAAAGGUGAUUUCUAUACUAGAAACACAAGGAGACGGAUACAAUUCUAAGGAUGCCAAGUCAUCACACUUCUUGAUCAGCAAUAGUGAAAGACAAGGAAAUGAAGGAGGUGAUUGUGUUGCUGAGUCCCUCCUCCAUAAUUCCUUCAACUUUGGCAUAGAACUCAGAUAGAGAUUUUGAAGAGAUGGGAAGAAUGGCCCUUCUGAUGAACACUCCAUGUACUCCACCUUUCCCAGAUGAUGAAGCUUCAGAGACUUGAGGUGACGGAGUCGAACAAUGCAUGGUAGAGUCUGACAUCCUAAACAUGAUGCCAAAUAAAUUGUGGUGAGGUUAGGGAGCAUGGUACUCAAUUCACCAUUCAUCAUCCAACGUGGAAAUCCCUUACCUCCAUAUCCUAUUAUAAAGAGAUCCUUUAGGUUUCGAUGUGGUUGGAGGCCUACCAUCACUGACUCAGCAUCCUCACCUGACUGUUCUUCUUGACCAUAUGACCAUUCUAAUCCCAAGGACUCAAUGUAUUGUUUUUCGACCAAAUUUGCUUCCCUGGAUUCUACCUUAGCAUCCAUCACGUUUUCAAGCUUUUCAAUCCACAAUUCUCCUCUGAGGUUGUUCAGCAUUUUUAAUUCACUCAAUCUGCCAACUUUACUCCCAGUUCCAACAACAAACAGUGGUAGGCUUUCAAGCAAAGAUAACUCUCCCAUCCCACAUGUCAUAUGAGUCAAACUCCCACACCCUUGAUUCUCCAAGUGCCUAAGAUUAAUCAAUCUCCUCAUAUCCUUGGGAAAUUUUUUUACAUGCCCACAAUUAAUAAGUUUUAAUGUUUGCAAAUUAUAUAACCAUGUAAUAGCAUUUGGGAGUACCUUGAAAUUAUUAUAUGAAAGAUCGAGAUAUCUUAAAUGACUCAUUUUGCCUAAAGAUUUCGACACCUUUUUUACACUGAAUCCAUGUAGGCUCAACACACGUAAACUCUUAAAAUUUGGAAUAAGAGUACGCACAACUGAAUCAUUUUUAGAAUAUCUAUUAACAUUCAACAUGGUCCUUAUGUGUUUUAGCUUCAAAUCCUUCCCCGUAAGAUUCAACGAAUUAGAGAAUGAAACGUGAUAAACUCUUUCCAAGAUCUCCUUCACAUUAUUUCCUAAACAAAGGACCUCAAAUCCAACAACUGAUUGUGCAAGAUCAUGUAUAAGAUCAUGCAUUUUGUAAUAUGAUGUAUUAUCAUAUGCAUCUUUUGUAACCUCCUCCAAUAAUGAUCUUGACAACAAUUCCUCAAAAUACCGGUUUCCUACCCCUGAAGCUUGAAUAUACCCCUGUGCCAUCCAUAAUUGUACCAACACUUUUUUCUCAAUUUCAUAGUCUUUUGGAAAUAACGCACAAUAACCAAAACAUUGCUUCAAAUGGAAUGGUAGAGCAUCAUAGCUUAACUUGAGCACUGAUAAAACACUAUCAUUAUUUUCACCUUCCAAUAACAACAAAUUUUUGUUGUUUUUAAUGGACAACCACAUACUUUCUUCAGUUUUAAUGCGCAAUAUUGCUCCUAGUGUUUUGAGGAUAAGAGGAACUCCUUUACACAUAUUUACAAUUUCUUUUCCAAUUUCUACAAGGCUUGGAUACAGUCUUUCUUGUCCUUCUUCAAAUGCUAUUUUUAAAAAUAAAUUCCAAGACUGAUUUUCUUUCAAACCUUUCAAAGAAAAAGGAAAAUGAUCAAUACCCAUAGUUGAUGCAACGUUUCUAUUUCGGGUGGUUACUAGAAUCCUACUCCCUUUAUCACCAACCAUCAACAAGGUCCUCAAUUCCUCCCAUUUUUGGAAGUCAUCAUUCCAAACAUCAUCAAGUACUAGCAAGUAUCUCUUCUGCCUUAUUUUUUCAUGCAAGGAAUCUUUCAAAACGUUUAAUGACCCCAAAUCUACAUCUCCACCACUUAAAGAUUCCAAAAUUUUUUUAACCAGCAACUUUACAUCAAAAUCAUCAGAAACACAAAUCCAUAUCUUAGGCUGAAAAAAGUCUGCUACUCUCAUAUCAUUAUAUACCAGCUGAGCAAGGGCGGUCUUACCCAAACCCCCAAUUCCAAUAAUGGCUACAGCAGAAAGAUUUUUUUCAUUCCCUGAUGACACCAACAAUUUUAUUAUCUCCUCUUUGUCUUCAUCUCUUCCCACCAUUUCAGAGGUCAACACAAAUGAGUGAGUCUCUCUCCGACUACUCUCUACCUCCCUCUGAACUACUUUCCCUUGAAUAAGUUUUAGCAUAGGGAUUUCUUUCACAAUUUCUUCAACCUCUUCUUUGAUAUCCUUGAGUCUAUCACUCAUCUUAAAACGAAGUACUACUUGAUUGGAAGAUGAGAAGAAGUCACUGACCUGCCUUGCUACUCCUCCACGCUGCAGCUGAAGCAUCUCAAAGUCAUCCAACAAGUCAUCAGCAUCAUACACAACAUCUUUGAGCCUCCUCACCCAAGCUUUUACUGCAUCGCUCUCCUCCUGCCUCUUCUCAGCAUCAACCAGUACACCUUUGAUGGUGUCCAGCUUCUUCGUAAGCUUCGUUAACUCUUUUGUCACACCAAACGCAGAUCCAAUUUGUUGAAAAGCCGAGGAGCCCAACUUGGUUAAAACGUCAGCUAUAGUACUGAAUGGGAUUUGUUCAGCCAUUUUGGAAGAACUCAAAGUACAGAACGCCAACAGAGUAUGGUAAGAGAAUGAGAAAUUGAGAGAAUUGUAAGAGAGAAUACCACCAGACAAGUAGCGAUGAUAUACACAGGGCUAGUGGGAGGAUAAUAGAAGUACUCAGAUGCAGUGGGGCUAUUAUAUAAUAAUGAGACACAUGCUCUUCAAAUUUAUGAUUUUUAGGCAUGCAUUUUUACAUCACACUAUGACAUUAUUUCAUAUUGAUUAGUUACACUCCUAUUAAGGAUGAAUUAAAAUUAUAUAUAUAUAUUGAUGAUUGAAUUUUAUGCCUUAUGAAACAUUAAAAAUGUUUUCAAAAAUAAGCAAUAAAGUAAUAAUACUGAAGUACAUGAUAAAUCACAUAAAAUUAUAUCCAAUGAAAUCAAAUAUUUAAGUGGAGAAAAUAGGGUGGUGAACAGAAGAUGGGAUUCCAUUGUACAUUACGUACACAAACAUGUUGAUGGGACCACGGAAGAAAUCGGGAGAAUUGUGUUUUGGAAAGCUUUCAUCCUUCACGUUUAAGCUUAAAACCAAAAAGUGUGAAAAUUAAGAAAAAUAAUAUAAAUUUUUUAUUUUUAUAUAAAUAAUUUUUAUUUACUAAGAAUAUAUAUAUAUAUAUAUAUAUAUGUUAAUUUAAAUUUUAUUUCUUUUAUAUAUCUCCAUAAAAUUUAAUAUAAUUUAGUGAUUUAGAAAAAAAAUACACCCUUUUUCAAACAAAUAAAACUAAAUUAUUAUUAUUAUUAUUAUUUAAAAAUCAAACAUCUUGAAAAAUAUAUUUUUUUGGAAAUUGUAUAUAUAAAAAAUAACUAAAAAUAUGUCAAUUUUUUUUAAAUGAUAUAUUUUUAAAAAAAUUAGUUUUCUAAAAAUAAUAAAUUUUCAAAAUAAUUAUUAAAAAAAUUAAGAUAAAAAAGUUUGUUAAAUAUUAUGGUAGAAAAUAGUUUUAAAAGGUAUUAGUCUUUUCAUAUUUUAUAUCAUUUCUAUCAAUUAUACAACUUAUAUAGAUCAAAACUUAAUUUUUUGGCCCAAUUGGGUUCAAAACACAAUUGUCCCGAAAAAAUUAAGUUUGUGAGAUCUUAUUUUAUUAUUAUUAUUAUUAUUUGACGCAUAUAUCAAUGACAUUUUGACAAAAAUAUUAUUUAUUUUUAAAAUAUUUAGUAAAAUAUGAUAAUUUGUAGCAUUAUUUCCUAAGCUACAAUUUUAUUUUAUUUUAUUUUAAAACUAUCAUCUUAAAAAGCAAUUUCCAUAUUCAACUGAAAAUUCGACUUUCAAUUGAAUUUUUUUCAACUACAAUACAUUUGAAAAUAUUUUUUCAAUUAUAAUAUUUUAAAAAAUAUUUUUUAAAAUUGUGAUAUAUUUUAAAAUCUCAUGUAUUAAUCCCCAUUUAAAAAUUAAGUAAAUGUAAAAUCACAUACAAAAGACAAUGAUUCUUGACCAUAAAUAAGGUUAAUUCUCAAGAAAAUGAUCUUUUUUCAAUUUUGAGUAGGGAUAUGAAAAAGAUAAAUUGAAUUGACCUUGAUCAAAACAAAUCAAUUUGAUUAAAAUUAAAAUUUCAAAUACUGAUUGUUGUGUCUAAUUAAAAUUUCAAAUCAUAAAUAAGGUUAAUACUCUUAUUAAAAUUAAAAUUUCUCUAUAAUGUAUUUAUAUUCACAAGCAAAAGUCAUCUUAUAUAGGAUUUCAAAUACUGCUUGUUGUGUCUAAUUAUUCUCACAAUGAUCAAAAGUGAUAAAUUUUAUGAAUUAAUAAAAAUCUAUAAUUAAUAUGACAUUGGAUUCUCCAAUAUAUAUAUAUAAAGGAAUAAUAUAUUAUAAUAAAGAUGGGAAGAAUGUCAUGCGAAAGUGUGACCUUUACCGGUAUAGCACUAAAUGUUUGACCACUUAAGCCAAGAAAAUAUGAUAAAAUAAUGUCAACUAGCCAACAAAUUGUAAUGAAAUCUCCAACAAGUCUUGGAUAAUCUUUUGGGUUUGAUUCGGUCACUGUAUGAGAAAACAAUUUACUAAAAUACAAAAACCUUUUAGGUGGGUUUAAUAAUUUAGUCAUUACGGACAUCAUAGUCCAAAAUUUAAAAAUACCAAAUUUGACAAGCUUAAAGAAAGACCAUCUAACCAUGAUCAUCGUGAAAGUUGAAACCGACUAAGAAUAUUUUUAGGAGGGAUUGAUUUGAUUAUUGCACGUGAAGAUAAUGUACUGUAAACUAAUCAAUAAAAACAAUAGAGGCUUGAUAUAGAAUAGUACUACCAAGAUUAAAAACCUAUAUAUUAAAAAAUAGCAAAUGGAGAAAGUUUGCUAGCAAUUCCUUCCAACAACUCUCAAAGCUAUCCCAUAACUAAUCGAGAAUCUUUUAAGUUUGAUUUAGUCAUUGCUGACAUCAUAGUUCAAAAAAAUUUAAUAAAGAAAAUUUGACAAGUGUACAAAAUACCACCUAACAGUAAAUAUGAAAAUUCAAACUUACUAAAAAUAUUUUAGAAGAGCUUGAUUUAAACAUUGCAUAAGAAGACAAUACACUAUGAUAAAAUAAAGUAAGAACAACAGAGACUUAAUAAUAGUCUAAAAAUUAAAAAUAAAAAUAAAAAUUAUAUAUUAAAAGAUAACAAAUUGAACAAGUUUAAUAGCCACCUCCUUCCGACAACUAUGAAAGUUUUAACAACUAAUUGAGAAUCUUUUGGGUUUGAUUUGGUAGAAAAUAAUAUACUAAAAACAACUAUUUUUUAGCUGGGUUUAAUUUAGUCAUUGUUGGAUGGCAUGGUUUGAAAUUUUGAAAAAAAAAACAAACAAACAAAUUUGAUAUGCUAAAAAAAGACCAUCCUAAAAUACAAUUAACUAAAAAUAUUUCACUAUGAUAAAAGUAAAAAAAUAAAGAAAAAUUUUAAUAACCUUAUUCUUAUUUAUAAGGUUACAAUCAUAAUAAUUAUAAUAAAUAUUUUUAUGAUAAUUCUGAAGGUUUUGUGAAUAUCUUAAAAGUUUAUUACAAGAAAUGAUGAUAUCUAAAAACUUUUGGACCUAUUUAUAAAUACUCUCCAUUAAAUGUUAACCACUGUAGAAUAUGUAUCACUAAAACAUUAUUAGGUUUUAUUAGGAAAAACCUUGUGAAGAAAAAAAAAAAAAAACUCUAGUGAAAGAAAAAAAGUAUAAUAUUAUUUUCAUAUUUUUGGAUUAUUUCGUCGAAAACCUUGUUAGCAAAAUCCAAUGAGAUAAAACUCGAGCAAAGGAAAAAAGAAUCUAGUAUAUAAGUACCCUUAUUAAUUGGAUCCUCAUCAUAUUAACAUGAUUAUACUUUCUCUAAUUACUCAUCAUGAAGAUCUUAAUUUGAGUCGACACACUUCAAUGUUAUCUAUGAGCUUUUGAAGUGUUGCAAUUGGUAAUGCUUUUGUCAGCAAGUAUGCUAAAUUAUCACUUGACAGUAGGGAUGGCAACGGGGCGGGUUUGGGGUGGGGCGGGGCGGGCGGGUAUGCUACAUUCCCAUACCCGCCCCGUUUAACUUUUUAUUUAAUUUUAAUUUUAAUUUUUUAAAUUACUUUUAAAAUUUUUAAUUAUAUUAAAAUAAAUAUAUUUUAUAAAUAAUUAAAUUAUUUUAUUUUUUAUAACUUAAUUUAUUAAAAAUAAUUUAUUAUUAUCUAUAUAUUAAAAAUAAUAAAAUAAAAAUUAAAUUAAAUUAAUUUUAAAUUUUAAAUUUAAUUUAAUUUUAAUUUUAAUUUUAUAUAUAAUCGGGGCGGGGCAAUACCUGAACCCGCCCUAAACCCGCCCCGAGUUUCAAAAAAAAAUCCCAAACCCGUCUCAUACCCGUCCCAUUGCCAUCCCUAGUUGACAGUGCUCUUCAAGAGCUUAUGAUUGUAGAAGAAUUUGAUGAAAUGCCCUUGGUUUGAUAACCUUUAAUAUAUUAUAUUUUAAUUUGUGGAAUAUAUUCAACAUGAUAUUCAUUUAAUGCUAUUGGAUUGUCUUUGAUAGAGAAUAAUUAACAAGACUCUCAUAUAUCUUGGAUCAUAAAUCUUAACCACACGAGUCUACCAUGCUUCAAGUGCAUCUUACAUUCAUUUGUCAUUAUAAUAAUUAUUUGCCUUAUUAGGAUAUUAAUUAUCUUUAGCACCAAAUAUUUUAUCAUACUUCUAUUGUAUUAGUUAAUUGUCAUGCAAGGACAUCACUUUAUCAUAUUCACUUGUAUAAAAAUUAUCUAAAAAGUUGCAUGUCAUUCUUCUAGAUUGGCUUUCCCAUCCCUAAUAGUGAGAAAAUUGUUUCAUUAAAAUAGAAAUUCUCAAAGCAUGCAUGUCAUACUACCCUUUAGGAGUGUAGAUAAACCAGUCACUAAGAAAUGUCUAAUAUAUAUCCAUAUGAUGUUAACGCAAUGAGUUGAUGUAUAACUAUUCAUCGGGGAUGAAAUGCUUAGUUGUAGGACUGAAACUCAUUAAUUGUCCUUAUAUGUCAUACCUUUAACAAUCAUUUUUAUGGUUUUGCAUAGAUUAUUUUACAAGUAUUUUGUUUUUAAUCAUUUUAUCAAUUUUGAUGGGAAAGUGUAGUCUUCUUUUUGGGAAAACUAUAACAUCCAUAGAUUCAAGAGUUAUUUUAUACCACAAUUCAUAUGAUCACAUUUUUGUCCACUGACACAUUAUGAAAUGGUUACAUUCACUUCUAGUUGGAUAAGACUAGUAAUUUUUCACGAAAAAAUCAUUAUUCUCAUAUGCAUUUAGUUAUAGUGAGCUUUGGGAGGAAUUAUAAUCUUUUGAUGCUUAUAUAUCUCUUUUAUAUUAUUGUAUAGAAUGAAAGUGCUAUUUAAGGCUAUUGAGAUCAUUAUUUUAAGAAUUAAAUUUAUCAAAAAUUCAAUUUUAAUAAAAAAAAAUGUAUAUAAGGGAAUAAUAGAUUAUAACAAAGAUGGGAAGAAUGUCAUGUGAAAGUAUGACGUUCACCCAUAAAAUACUACAUGUGACAAAGCUUAAGCCAAAAAAAUAGGAUAAAAUAAUGUCAACUAGCCAAGAAAUUAAAAUGAAAUCUCCAACAAGUCACUGAUCAUCUUUUAGGUUUGAUUUGGUCAUUGCAAGAGAAAACAAUUUACUAAAAUACAAAAUCCUCUAGGUGUUUAAUAAUUUAGUCAUUGUAGACAUCAUAGUCCAAAAUUUUAAAAUAGCAAAUUUGACAAGCUUAUAAAAGGCCACCUAACUAUGAUCAUGAAAAUUGAAACCGACUAAAAAUAUUUUUAGGGGGAAUAGAUUUGAAUAUUGCACAUGAAGACAAUGCACAAUAAACUAAUAAAUAGAAGCAAUAGAGGCUUGAUAUAGAAUAGUGUUACAGAGAUUAAAAAACUAUCUAUUAAAAAAUAGCAAAUGGAGGAAGCUUACUAACAAGAAUUAAAAUUUCGGUUUUCAUCGGCAAAAUAUCGUCGAUGUAUCAAAUAUCGGUGGUGCCCAACACGAUAUUGGGCACAGAUUAUCGAUCAUUGGGAAUUUUGAAAUUUUUUUAGUAAUAUCGUCGAAAUAUUGACAAUAUAUCGGUUUGGAGGCGAAGUAUCAACGAAAAAAUUGGCAAAAAAUCGCCGAUUUUUUAAUUUUUUUAAUUUUUAAUUUUUGACGAUCCAACGGUUAGAUUUGAAUUUUUGACGAUUCGAUGACCUAGAUUUCACCUGUGUUUUUAUAUUAUCAUUUUAUUUUUAAUUAUUUUUUAUAUUUAUCUCAUUAAUCCUAUCUUUAAAAAUUAUUAUCACUUCACUCUUAAAUAUUUUUUUAUAUUUAUCCUUUCAAUUUUAUUUAAUUUUAAAUGUUUUUAUUUUAAAAUAUUAAAAAUAUAAUUUUACCCAAAAAAAUUGCUACAAUAUAAAAAAUUAAGGAAGUUCUAAUAUUUUAUAAAUUAAAAUUAAUUAUAGUGAGCUUUGGGAAGAAUUAUAAUCUUUUGAUGCUUAUAUAUCUCUUUUAUAUUAUUUUAUAGAAUGAAAGUGCUAUUUAAGGCUAUUGAGAUCAUUAUUUUAAGAAUUAAAUUUAUCAAAAAUUCAAUUUUAAGAUAAAAAAAAUGUAUAUAAGGGAAUAAUAAAUUAUAACAAAGACGGGAAGAAUGUCAUGUGAAAGUAUGAAAAUAGGAUAAAAUAAUGUCAACUAGCCAAGAAAUUAAAAUGAAAUCUCCAACAAGUCACUGAUCAUCUUUUAGGUUUGAUUUGGUCAUUGUAAGAGAAAACAAUUUACUAAAAUACAAAAUCCUCUAGGUGUUUAAUAAUUUAGUCAUUGUAGACAUCAUAGUCCAAAAUUUUAAAAUAACAAAUUUGACAAGCUUAUAAAAGGCCACCUAACUAUGAUCAUGAAAGUUGAAACCGACUAAAAAUAUUUUUAAGGGGAAUAGAUUUGAAUAUUGCACAUGAAGACAAAGCACGAUAAACUAAUAAAUAGAAACAAUAGAGGCUUGAUAUAGAAUAGUGUUACAAAGAUUAAAAAACUAUCUAUUAAAAAAUAGCAAAUGGAGGAAGCUUACUAACAAGGAUUAAAAUUUCGGUUUUCAUCGGCAAAAUAUCAUCGAUAUAUCAAAUAUCGGUGGUGCCCAAUGUGAUAUUGGGCAUCGAUUAUCGAUCGUUGGGAAUUUUGAAAAUUUUUUAGUAAUAUCGUCGAAAUAUUGACAAUAUAUCAGUUUGGAGGCAAAAUAUCAGUGAAAAAAUUGGCAAAAAAUAGCCGAUUUUUUAAUUUUUUUAAUUUUUAAUUUUUGACGAUCCAACGAUUAGAUUUGAAUUUUUGACAAUUCGAUGAUCUAGAUUUCACCUGUGUUUUUAUAUUAUCAUUUUAUUUUUAAUUACUUUUUAUAUUUAUCUCAUUAAUCCUAUUUUUAAAAAUUAUUAUCACUUCACUCUUAAAUAUUUUUUUAUAUUUAUCCUUUCAAUUUUAUUUAAUUUAAAAUUUUUUUACUUUAAAAUAUUAAAAAUAUAAUUUUACCCAAAAAAUUGCUACAAUAUAAAAAAUUAAGGAAGUUCUAACAUUUUAUAAAUUAAAAUUAAUUAUAGUGAGCUUUGGGAAGAAUAUUAAAAAAUAUAGUGAGCUUUGGGAAGAAUUAUAAUCUUUUGAGGCUUAUAUAUCUCUUUUAUAUUAUUGUAUAGAAUGAAAGUGCUAUUUAAGGCUAUUGAGAUCAUUAUUUUAAGAAUUAAAUUUAUCAAAAAUUCAAUUUUAAUAUAAAAAAAUGUAUAUAAGGGAAUAAUAAAUUAUAACAAAGACGGGAAGAAUGUCAUGUGAAAGUAUGACGUUUACCCAUAAAAUACUACAUGUGACAAAGCUUAAGCCAGAAAAAUAGGAUAAAAUAAUGUCAACUAGCCAAGAAAUUAAAAUGAAAUCUCCAACAAGUCACUGAUCAUCUUUUAGGUUUGAUUUGGUCAUUGCAAGAGAAAACAAUUUACUAAAAUACAAAAUCUUCUAGGUGUUUAAUAAUUUAGUCAUUGAAGACAUCAUAGUCCAAAAUUUUAAAAUAACAAAUUUGACAAGCUUAUAAAAGGCCACCUAACUAUGAUCAUGAAAAUUGAAACCGACUAAAAAUAUUUUUAGGGGGAAUGGAUUUGAAUAUUGCACAUGAAGACAAUGCACGAUAAACUAAUAAAUAGAAGCAAUAGAGGCUUGAUAUAGAAUAGUGUUACAGAGAUUAAAAAACUAUCUAUUAAAAAAUAGCAAAUGGAGGAAGCUUACUAACAAGGAUUAAAAUUUCAGUUUUCAUCUGCAAAAUAUCGUCGAUAUAUCAAAUAUCAAUGGUGCCCAACACGAUAUUGGGCAUCCAUUAUCAAUCAUUGGGAAUUUUGAAAAAUUGUUAGUAAUAUCAUUGAAAUAUUGACAAUAUAUCGGUUUGGAGGCAAAAUAUUAGUGAAAAAAUUGGCAAAAAAUAGCCAAUUUUUUAAUUUUUUUAAUUUUUAAUUUUUGACGAUCCAACGGUUAGAUUUGAAUUUUUGACAAUUCGAUGACCUAGAUUUCACCUGUGUUUUUAUAUUAUCAUUUUAUUUUUAAUUACUUUUUAUAUUUAUCUCAUUAAUCCUAUUUUAAAAAAUUAUUAUCACUUCACUCUUAAAUAUUUUUUUAUAUUUAUCCUUUCAAUUUUAUUUAAUUUUAAAUGUUUUAUUUUAAAAUAUUAAAAAUAUAAUUUUACCCAAAAAAAUUGCUACAAUAUAAAAAAUUAAGGAAGUUCUAAUAUUUUAUAAAUUAAAAUUAAUUUGAUAAGAUAAAUUAUUAAUAAUUUUAAUGAUUUAAAUAAAUUAAUGUUAAUAGAAAAAGUUGUUACCACAUAUUUUUAAUAAAAUUUUAGAUAUUAAAUCUCAAAUAAAAUAUUUUAUAUAAAUUAAUUUAUUUUUUCAUUUAAAAUGUAAUAAAACAUGUUUUAAUAAAAAUAUUUUAAAAUUUUUAAUAUAAGGCCUCAUUCAUCUAAUAAUAUGAUAGAUCCACAUCCAUCUUCAUUUUGGUACUAAGGACUAUUAUAAUGUCAUAUGUAUUAUAUUUAUGUAUAAACUAUUCUUAUUCAAUAAAAGCAAACAUUUCUUAAUUCAAUUCUAACUUUCUAAGUGUACACUUCCAAAAUUCAUAUUUAUUAUUCUUAAAAUCCAAGUAUCAAAUCUACUGAUAUAUCUCUAUUUACCAAUAUUUUUCUUCUUGACCAUAUCUAUGUCAAUUACACUUAUAAAAUAACUUAAAAAUGUGUAUUCUUGCUUAUUUUAUCAUUUUUUUUUUAGUUUUUCCAAGUAUUCCUAUAAAUUUUGAAUAAUAUUCAUUGCACCGAUAUUUUUUAUAUAUCCGUAAAAUCGAAGUACUGAUAUAUCCGUAAUUACCGAUAUUUUCAUCAUUACUUACUAGCAACUUCCUUUCAUGUUCCAACAACUCUGAAAGCUUCCAUACCUAGCCGAGCAUUUUUUGAGUUUUGAUUUUUUUCAUUACAUGGAAAAAAUAUUGUACCAAAAAAAUAAAAGUCUUUUAGGUGGGUUUAACUUAAUAGUCGUUGACAUCAUAGUUCAAAAUUUUUUUAAAUAGCAAAUUUGACAAGUGUACAGAAUACCACUUAACCAUAAAAAUAUUCAAGAGGGGCUUGAUUAAAAUAUUGCAUAUGAAGACAAUUUACUAUAAUCUAAUAAAGUAAGAAUAGCAUUGACUUAAUAAUAACCUAAAAAUAAAAAAGAAACUAUAUAUUAAAAAAUAGGAAAUCAAACAAGUUUAUUAUUAGCAACCUCCUUCCAACAACUAAGGAAGUUUCCACAACUAAUUGAGAAUCUUUUGGCUUUUAUUUGGUAGAAAAUAAUACACAAGAACAAACAUUUCUUAGUUAGGUUUAAUUUAAUCAUUGUCAAUGGCUCUUAGAGUGCAUGAUAUAUAUUAUGAGGUCUAAUCUUAUAAGCUUAAAUAUCUAUUAGAGCACAUGAUAUUCAUUUUCUUCUCCCUUACAAUAGCCUCCAUUUUUUGGUUUACAUGUGGGCUUUAUGGAUUGAGUAAAUAAACAUGUUGUGGUGAGGUUCAAACUAUUGACCUUCCAACAACAAAGGCUCUAGGUAAUACCAAUUCUUGGAUCAGGAUUUGAUCAUCUUAAUCUUAUAAUCUUUAGUUUUUCUACUAAUGUUGGACUAUUAGAAAAAGUAUAAUUAUGUCAACAUGACGAGGAACAAAUAAAUAAGAAUGUUAUUAUGUUGUACUCUUUUUUUUCUUUGCUCAAGUUUUAUUUCAUUGGGCUUUGCUGACAUGGUUUUUAAUAAGAUAAUUUUUGUUGUAUAAAAAUAUUAAAAUAAUAUUAUACUCUUUUUCUUUUACUCAAGUUUUUUCCAUUGGGUUUUCCCUACUAAGGUUUUGUAAGAUGUUCUAAAAUGGUUAGCAUCCAAUGGUGUGUAUUCUAAUUAGGUGCAAAAAUUUGUAGAUGUUACCAUUUCUCAUAAUAUAUGUUUUUGAUAUCCAUGUAAACUUCAUAAUUAGUAUAAAAGUAUUUAUUGUAACAUUAUAAUACUAAAAUACUUUGGUUAGUUUCAAUUUAAGACAAUCUUUUGUGAGCCUAUCAAAUUUACUAUUUUUAAAUUUUUUGAUUAUGACAUUGUUAGACUACAUGAUAUACAUAAUAUGAUUUGGGAUUAUUAGAUCCGACUUUGACUAUCUCGUUUGAAAUCUAAUUGGUAUAUAGUGAUGAUAGGCUAAGUCUUUUAUUGCAUUCGACUACCAUCAUUUAAGUGAUUCAUCUACCAAGCUUAAGAACGACAUUGUUACACCCCAAUAAUCCCCCCCCCCCCCCUAACAUGAUGCUCUUGUGGCUCAAACCUAUGACCUUGACUUUGACACCAAUGUUGAAUAUCGAUUUUUCUAAAAGCUUAAAUUUAUAAGAUUUGGGCUCACAAUGUAUAUUAUGCACUCUAAUAGAGACACUUCAAUGUUGGCUAUAAGCCUCUAGAGUGUUGUAGUUGACAACACUUUUGAAAAGAAUUUGAUGAAAUAUGCUUUGUUUUAUAAUAUUUAAUAUAUAAUGCAAUUUAUUCAAUAUGGUAUUCAUUUGCUACCAUUGGAUUUUCUUUGAUAGAGGAUAAUUUAGAACAGUCUCAAAUAUGUUUGAUCAUAAAUAUUAACAACUCACAUUCACAACUUGCUUCAUGAAUCAUGUUAUUUUGGAAUGAUUUGAGGAGGUGGCUACAAUUCAUUGCUUGACCAAAUUUCCAUAAUCAAUAUAUGUUUGAUCUUGUUCUAAUGCCUUCGAGUUGGAAUAGGAACUAUACAUCUUGCUAGUACAUUAAUUUGUACAAUUUGCAAGAUAUAUCAUUAUGUUAAUUGCAUUGAGAUAUGAUACUUUUGGACCAAACACUUCCAUUUUCUUCUUUGGAUGAAAUGUAUCUUUAUUUACUUCAAGUGAACAAAUAACUAUAUUAAAGCUAAAUGAGUGUCAUUUAUCCACAGGAAAGUAUUUUAAGACUUUUUGUAUAUAUGUCAACUGAUGGACUAACACACCUCUUAGAAAAUAAUUGAUCUAUAAGUUUAGAUAAAAUUUUGGUUUUCCAAUAUCCUUCAUUUUCUUAUGAACUCUAUUAAACCAAAGUUUGAUUAUUAUUGAUUUUGAUAAUAACAAAAUAAGGUUUGAAACUAAUGAUUGAUCCUAAGUGUGUUUAGGUAAGAAGAUUUCUAAAGAAGCAAUUAAAGAUAUAUAAAAACUAAGUGACAUCAAAAAGAAAGAGAAAGGACUUAAAAAGAAGAAGAAUGAAAACCUAUUCUCAAUAUCUUUUUAUAAGGUUGUAAGUGCACUAGGUUCAUAUUGCAUUACAACUUUAUUUAAGAACUUAAAAUUAUCCAAGUGCCUAAUUGGUUUCAUUCCUUUAUAAAUUGAAUGAAGAAUCUUUCUAGAUGAGAACCAUUUUUGUUUAGUGAUAUUCAUAGUUAAAAUGGUUUUCGAAAUGACAAGGAAUUAUCUAGCCAAUUUCCCUAAGGAUUUUGUGAUAAAGUUGCAAAACCUAUAGAACUCAUUUAUGUAUUUUUGUGAAUGAUUUUUAUUAACAAAGUUCCCAAUAUCUCAAGAAAGAUUCAAGUAUUGAAUCUAGUUAAUUGAAGACCUGCAUCCCUUCAAUGAGGUUAAGGUGUAUUUAUAACAACUAAUACUCAAUCAUGUAGAUAUUAUCCGUUUUGGACCCAAAAGGACCCUCACAACUUUAAAACGCAUCUACAAGGUUAAGAAAAGUUCAUACAUAUAUAACCCCACUAACUUUCUCCCUUAUCCGAUGUGAAAUAUCACAAACACCCUAUAUGUAGACACAAUGUCCUCAUUGGGUUCCAUGGGAUUAUGGGGACAAACAAACAAACACCCCUUAUGGGGCCAAACAAACCCCAACAAACCCCAACAUCAAGGUUGAGAAUUGACUUUAAUACCAUUUGUAAUGACUUGCACCCAACUGUGUAGAUAUUGUCCACUUUAGGCUCAAAUGAGCCCUUAUGGCUUUAAAAUGCAUUUAUAAAAUUAGAGGAGUUCAUACAGUGUUAAGAACUUUCUCCCCUAUUCAAUGUGGGAUAUCCAAACACCAUUCAUCAUUCUCUCCUCAUGUAGACAUAACAUCCUCAUUAUGCCCAUGAGAUUACGAAGCCAAAUAAACAAAACACCCCUUUAGGUUAAAUAGCUGACAAUCUCUACACGGGUGUGAGUCAUUAUAAAUGAUAUCAAAGUCAAUCAUUGACCUCGAUGUAGGGGUUUGUUUGGCCUCGUAAUCCCAUGGGACACAACAAAGAUGUUAAUGUGUCUAGAUGGGGGUGUUUGUGAUAUCCCACAUCAAAUAAGGGAGAAAGUUAUUGGUACUAUAUAUGUAUGAACUCCUCUUAAUCUUGUAGAUGUGUUUUAAAGUCGUGAGGGUUAAGUCAUUACAGAUGGUAUUAAAGUCGAUCCUCGACCCCAAUGUGGAGGUUUAUUUGGUCCUAUGAGGGGUGUUUGUAAUAUCCCACAUUGGAUGAGAGAGAAAAUUACUUAGACUAUAUAUGUAUGAACUCCUCUUAACUUUGUAGACGUGUUUUAAAGUUAUGAGAACCUCUUUAUACAUAGAGCGGACAAUAUCCACACCUUAUAGUAUUCACUUAACUAAUAGGAAGUUGUUGCGUCGUGUACUUGAAUCAAAUUGUAAAUACUAAAGAGUAAGUCUUUAUGGUAAAACUACUAGGUAAAUUUGUGUAAUUUGAUCUCAUAUAAUGGAUUUAGAUUAGUGGUCUUAGGCCUCAUGGUUUUUUUUUUUAUCUCCACAAUUAGUGUCAGGAUUUUCCACAUAAAAAUUUCUAUGUCUCACGACGUAUUUUGUGAUUUUGUGGUUACUUUGAUCAUAUAAAUUAUCCUUGAUAUAUUGCAAGUUUAAUUGGGUUUCAAAACUAUUCUCCCUAUUUAAAUUUAGGUUAAUAAAUUUCAUUCCUUAUAUUAUAUUUUUUUUAAAUACUUCAACCUCUAUAGGUGUUAUCCUACUGGACUUAGGUUUUUCAAAGAAUAAUAACAUAAAAGAAAUAAAGUGGAAUUAUAUGAAAAUUAUGAAUAACAUUAAUUUGAAACGAUUUUUCAAUUGAUAAUUUAAAAUUUCAAAUAAUAAAAUAAAUUUGAAAAAUAAUUUUAAAUUGACAAUUUUAAAAGAAGAAUUUUUCCAAAUCUUUUAAGAAAUUUAGAAAGGAAUUUAAAUUGGAAUUUAAAAAUGAAAAUCUUUUCAAAUCUCUUUGAUUUUUUAAAAAGAAAAUAUUUCCAAAAUUCUCUAAGUAUUUGAAACUAACCUCUUUUUUUUUUUUUUUUUUUUUUUUUUUUCUAAAAUACGAUUUCUAAAUUGAUUCUAAGUCAACUAGUUUUUCUUUAGUAUAAAUAUGUCUUUUAGGAGAGUUCUAAGAACUCACACACCUAAGCUUUAAGUCAUUAUUCUUUGUGCUUAACCCGAAACUCUCAAAGGUGUUUGUUUUCAUUCUUGGAUUCAUGAGAAAGAUUUGCAUUCCCUUAAGUUGUUGAGGAGUCCACUAAGGAGCACAGUUGUGUUGCAUGUAGAUGAGAAAUUAGGUGUAGGUUCAAAGGUGUAAGUAAGUCUCAGGAAGUAGUAACCAUCAAGUAAAUUUAUGUACCUAGUCUUCAUAUUUAGUAUAUUACAACUCUAUGGUCUCUUGACCCUAAAGUUUUUAUUUUCACAAAGUCUUUGGAAGACUUAGUGGGUGAUUUUGUAAAUUGUUGUCUUCUUAUGUAAUUAUAUUUCUCUACUUCAUAUGUAAUUCUUGAAAAGGAAUUUAAAAAUAAAAAGUUAGGUUAAAAAGAAAGAACUAUCUAUUCAAUGCCCUUUAGGUAGGUUCAUAACAAGACCUAUAACUUUCAAUUGGUAUCAUAGUUAGAAAAAAAAUAUAUAAAAAUCAAAAUUUUCUUCAAUUCCUAUCUUUGAUAUUGUUUUCACGGAAUUUAAAGAAAAAAAUAUUUACUUUUGGCUUGUAAAUUUUUUUUCUUAGUCGGGAAAGAUUGCAUAAAGAAUAUAAAUGGUUGGAUAAAAAACUCAAGUAACAAGAACUCGUAUGUGAGUAUUUAUCUCUUGAAUAAAAAAAGGCAGCAUGAAAUAGUUGCUAAUUUGAAUAAAAAAAUGAUCACUUUCCAAUAAAGUUGCCUUCUUUGAAAAAGAAAAUCAUUGGUGUCAUAAAAGUAAAAAAUCAUUGACUCUUGAAAUAAAUAAUUGCAAGAGAGAAUUAUCUUGUAGGAAAAAAAUUAGUCGGUCCAAAGAAACAUAAGAAAGUCAAGAAAGUGACUUGGAGUUAGUCCAAGUCAAGUGAAAGUAAAUCAUGGAAUUUUGGUGAGAAUAGCAAUCAAAAUGACUACUUUGUAUUGGUUGCACCUGUUUGAAUAUGAUAAUAAUUCUUUUAAUGAUAGAAAUUUUGAUGAUAGUGUAUGUGUGUUUGGUGAUACUGAUGAAGCCUAUCAAAGCUAGUCUUUUGAAUGAAUGCAUCAAAUUAAAGAAAGAAAGAAAGCAUGCUAGUGAAUGAUAAAUAAUCUAUUGAGAUAUUUGCUUUAAAUGAUUCACUUAAAGAUAAGAAUAUUGUUUCGAAAAGAGAAAGAAAACUUACUUGAAAAAAUUAGAUUUCUAGAGAAUUAACAUAGUUGCUUGGUUGAGAGAAAAAACAAAGUUAAAUUCUAGAAAUUGAAAAACUCAAGAAAAACUUGGCCUCAAAAAAUGAAAAUUUGCAUUUAGGAACUAAAAUGUUUAAUGAAAUCAUUAGAAAAGGGAAAUUCAAUGGAGAUAAGGGAUAUCUUGGUGAGUCAUAUGCAAUGUUUGGUUUAGUUUACCUUGUAGUUGCUAAUGUGGGUGCUAGCAACUAAGUGGGAGUGUUUGAAGUAGGAUGAAUGGAAUUCCAAUGUUCCAAAUCAGUUGAUUACCAACGAUGAUUGGAGCUUAUAUGUGAAGCUACAUUUAUCCCUCUUAGCUUAGGCUUUUGAGAGUAUAUAUGGUCCCAAAUCACCAGAUCAUGAAGACAACAUUUUGGGAUCUAAGAAUUCCCUCAUAGUAGUUGGGGAUAAAGCUUUUGGGCAAACCCCAAAGCAGGAGAUAGUCUGAGGAAUUUUCAGCUACCAUCCUCGUGUAUUCUUUACUAUUCUCAGGCUCUCUUAGUAAUUUUCAUUGCAUUGUUCAUGUGUAAUUAGUUUUUGAAGAUUUUAAUAUAGAUGCCUAUAGUUUUGUAUAGAUUUUGAGCACUUUGGACUUCAAUUUAAUGGUUUUUUUGAAUUGCAAGUUCUGACCUUAUUCUCUUUGUUCUUUAUCAUGUGUGACCAAUAGUUCUUCAAAGUUAAGGAGGGUGGUCCGUGAAGUCCCUUCAGGAACAAUUAAUGCACCUCACGGGAUGAAUUGAUAUUGUCUUCACCUUGUAAUCGAAGCCUCCCAAACCCAUUUUGCUCUUUGGAAUGGAAACUUAGAAGUUGCUUUUAAGGUAUUUUAUGUGCUGAGGGUCGUAACUGUCUUUGAACUUUGAAGUUUAGGCUAGAAUUGAAGAAAAAUGUGAGCAAAAACACAAAAAUACAAAGAAAAAAAAUUGAACAUUAAUAAAUUAUGUUUAUAUGCUACUUCAAAUUCAUUCAGUUUUAUUUUUUUUAUUUAUUAUUUUAUAUAAAAAUUAAAUAAAUUAAAAAUCCAUAAAUUUUUAAUUAAUUCUAAUUACAUUUGAUUGUUUUCUUUUUUUGUACUUUUUCAAACAAAACCAAAUAGUAGGAAAUCAUUUUUCUUUAAUACUAUUUUCUUUUUCUUUAAUAUUUUCUGGGAAUUAAUAUAGUCUUAAAUCUGACAUUGGCAUUAGGAUGAAAAUAAGGUUGUUAAAAUGAUAGAAAGGUUAAGGUUGCAAAGGCAGAGCUACAAGUAAAUGUUUAUCUGUUGGAGGCUCUAAGUUGUGUAUUGGCCGUGAAAGGAGGAACUUCAUUAGACCCCCUUUUGUUGGAAUGUUAAGUUUAUUCGGUGUUUACAUAGCUGUAAAUAAUUUUUUUUCUCGCUUUUUUUUAACCAAAUAUUUCCCAGGUCUUCCAAUAUCUCAAUAUCUCCUUAUUAAACAAUCCUCUUUCAACCACAACACAAUUUAAAGAGAAAAUCAGCACCACUUUGGGACAUCAUGCCUGUGAAAGACUCCCUGUACUUGAGGAAUCAACACAGUCAGCAUUCAGGGCUCAAGUAUUCUUUUCAUUUUAGGCUUUUAGAGUAACAAACCCAUGGUGUGCCAGUAAAUGGAAAAAUUGGAGAUGAUUACAGCAUACAGAGACAACAUAAAAAUGAACUAAAAUCAAUUAAAUAAACAAAAUUUCAAAUUCAAAUAUAAAGCACUCAGUAUAUUGGGCUCAAUAUUAGAAACUAGAAAAGAUCCUAAGGAAAAAUGAACUCAGAUAAAAGAUUUACAUACAAACAAGUCGAAAAGGACCCAAAAAAUAAACAUCAUUGAAGUACUACUCCAAGAGAUAUAUUAAUACAUAAUAAGUCAUCUAUUAAUGUUUAGAAAACAAAUACACUUGAGGAAGGUUUAGAAGCCAUGAGUGCUAUGAUCUCAUGUUUGGGUUUGAAUUAAAGCUUCAACAAUCACCCAUGAUAACAAUGAUGGAGAAUUUUGAAUCCACCAUUCCUUUAUCAAUCAACAUCCUCUUAAUCCAUACAUUCCCUUUUUUACUUUCCAUGUUUCAGUAAUGCAUUUUAAGGCAACACCUAUUUCAGCAAGGAAAGAUCAAUGGAAACUGAGAGACUGUAGCAGUCAUUCUUGUGCUCCUCAUUCCCUUCUCUCUUUGAGGUUGCUUGCUUUUCAAGAAAAUUUCAUUCAAGUUUUCAACCAAAAUUUUUAAUGGAUUUUCUUGAGAAAGAAUGGGAUGAUUCUUCAUUCAUUCAUAUCUCAAUUUUGAAUCUAUUUGGGUUUGUGUAAAAACAAAUGUUCUUCUUGUGUGAAUUCAAGAAGAACCCGAGAUUGAACUUGAUGUGGACUCCAAGUGUGCUUUGGAAGAAGAAGGUGAGAAGUUGAAAGUGAAAGGUAUUAGUAAGGAUUGGUAGGUUUGAACUAAGUAAAAUCUUGUAUUCAGUUUUUAUUCUUCAUAGUGGACAUUUUUUAUUGGUUGUUGGCCCGUGGUUUUUUACCUAUUCGGAGGUUUUCCACGUUAAAAUUUGGUCUCAUUGUCUCUCAUUCUCCUCUUCAUUUCAAUUUCAAUUUUAGCUAUCUUUGAUAUUUUGGACGUUUAAUUUUUGGUUGAAUGUUGAGGUAAAAUAUAUAUGAGUUACCUUUAAUGUUAUUGUUAGCCCAAGGGUUCUCCUAAUCGGGUUUUGAUGAUAACAAACCAUGGCUAAGUAACUAAUUGGUUUAAUGUUUAAGAAUCUCAGGUAUAAACUCGAAAAUUCAUCAAAUGACCAAAUGGAUACAAGAUCGAGACGCUUGGAAGACUUGAGAUCAUAGGAAAUGAAUGUAAGAUGAUAGCAUGAGUGCACUUAGGAUGUUCAUACCUUUUCAUGCAUCUUAGAAAACUCGGUUUAUUCUUUAAAACUUGAUUUUCUUUAAAACCCGAGUUUUAUCAAACAUACCUUAGGCAAAUUGAUUCAAAAGUGGCAUAUUAACUCACCUAAAGACCUUGCCUAAGUAUUGGAAAAGAAAGAAAUAAAAAAGGAUAGGUUUUCGGAGCCAAAAGGCUCAACCGGUCGAGGCUAAGGCCAACCGGUCAACCGGUUGAGUAACCGGUCGACCAGCUGAGGUCGUCCGGUCGAGGAUCGGACGAGGAAGGUUAAAAACAUUUUCUCUCUCCCAGUAGCCUUCUUUUCCCGGUCGAGGUGAUUCCUUUACCGGUCGAGGACUGGUCGAGGUCCGGUUGAGGCAACGGUAACCUGUCAUACAUUAAAUGCUCCAACAGCUAGUGAACCGGUCGACCCCUAGCUCGACCGGACGAGGCUGCCUUUUGCUGUUUUUGACUCCCGAGUUUAGAAACCUAUAAAUUGAGAGCUCCACUUCAUUCAUGACCAAGAGAACAAUUGCAUUCAAAGCCUACCUACCUGUUCUUGAUCAAAAAGCUUUCAUUUCUUUCUUAGUGCAUUAAAACCAUCACUUGCAUAUUCUUAGUGCACUAUUGUAAAUCAUCCUAGCUUUCUCUUAUACUUGAGUCAUCCUUAAGCUAGGUUGAGAGUUUCAUCUUUGUGUAAACUGAGUGUGAAAGCCUUCAAGUGGUUCAAAUCUUAAAGAGAUUGUGUAAGAGCCCAUUGGAGCCGGAAUCCAAGUGUAAGAAGAUUGAAAGCUUGAUUGAAGCUUCAAGAUUAGUGGAACCCUCACUCGGUUAGGAGAUUGAGGAGAGUGGACGUAGGUAAGAAAACGCCGAACCACUAUAAAACCGAGUUUGAAUUCUCUAACUUUAUCUCUUUCCUUUAUUUAUUUUGUGCAUAUAUUAUUAUGUGGAAAAAGAUUUUGAAAAACCCAAUUCACCCCCCCUUUUGGGUAUUUUCUUUAAUUAUUCAUAGCCUUUGUUUUAUCAGUUAUUUUUUAAUAUUAUUCAUAGGUAGGUAUAUUUGAGAUAUUUUGCUCUUGUUAUUAAUAAAAAAUUGUUCUAAGUUUUUGUGUUGAGAAGUGUUGGAACAUAUGCAUAUGAAUUGCAUUUUAUUCUUGUUGGGGAGUGUUGUUGCAUUCAUAUUUGUAUGUGAUUUCUAAUUUGUGUUUUUAAGUGUUUGUAAAGACAAGGAACAAUUGUAAAAAUUGUUAAGGUUAGUUACUUGUAUUGAGAGGCUUUUAAAUUGGACAAAAACACCUAUUCCACCUCCCCUUUAGGUGUAUUCUAUAAUUGACAUUUACUUGUUAUAGUAAAAUUAUUACAUUUUAAUUAUUAUUUGAGUAAAAAAAGAAAUAGCUUCUAAAUUCCUUACAAGACUUUUAAAAAUAUUUUUAAAAUUGCCUACAAGUUCGAAUACUCUAAAUAAUUAUAGAAUUAACAAAAACAUUGAUGGAUAGAAAUUUUAUGAAUUCAAAUUUAAUGAGAAAAAUUAUUACUUUUCAAGUUAAAAAUAAAUGAAUAUAAAUUAAUAAUAAAAUAAAAGAUUAUCAUAUGAUACUAAAAAAUUGUUUUUAGGUGUCAUUCAUAUUAUAACAUAUUACAAAUCAACAAAAUAAUCUUAUUUCUUUGUAUAUUGUUACACAUAUCAGCCAAUAAAGAAUAAAAUAAUCUAAUUUCUUUUCUCUCUUGUUAUACAUAUCAAUCACUCGUAUUUGAAUUUUGUUAUGCUACUCAUGCAUUUUGAACCUUAGAAUUUUCUUUAAAUAAAACAAAAACAAAAAAUAUGAACAAAAGAGAUAUUUUCAUUUAAUCUUGUAACAUUGCCCCAUUGAUGACAUGUAACAAUCAACUGGCGCAUAACAGUCAUUUACUUAUGGCGGCUUACUGCCUGGCCAAGUUUUGGUCAAGUGGGACCACUUUGACCAGCUUUAUUUGGAUUGCCUACCUAAUUAUCUUAAUGUUUGGGUACCCACAUAACCUAUAAUUGAAAUUUCAUGAAAUUAUUUAUUAGAAGAACACAUUAACAUAUCCCAUUAAAGCUUCAUGAAAUAUAUUUCCAACGUAAUUACUUGAAUCACAUUUAUAGAUCACAGAAAACAUUUGUCACACGAGAAGUUCUUUAGAAUGGUGAUUAAUUUUUACUUCUAAAAUAGUCUAAGAACUAGAGAUGGAGGUAUCAUUGGACUGUUAUGACUGGCAAGCUUUGAUGUCCUACUUCGACUUUUCACAUUGAUGUGCCCUAUUCGAGUCUCUCUCUUGGUGCUACACCUGCCAUGGUAUUGUGUCCAUGGCUCACCAAGUCAUCUCCUUGCGCAAGGUAUUGAGCCCUUGUGCCACCUUGCUAUAGUCCUAGAUCACUCAUGAGGCCUUAGUGUCGGAUGGUCCUUGUCAAGGGCUAACAUAGUCAAAUCCUUCUGAAGUUACAAGAAAUGCCUGUGGCAUAUAUGUGAAUAGAACAUAUCAAAUAUCAUAUCAAUAUAAUUUUUUUCUAUACAAUUAUAUUUAGAGUCUGGUUAACCUAAAAGUUUUUUUUUAAAAAAAAUUAGUGUUAAACAAAAUUUAGGAAACACUUCUAAAAAUUUGAAAAAUUACUUAGUAAUGUUUUCUAAAGAAACACUUGAUAGGUAAUUUUCAUUAAAAAAAACACUUUCAGAGAAAAUACUUCACUAAAAAUACUUUAAGUAAAAAUACUGUUAAACACACUCUUACAGUCUUAUUAUGUUUUAUUAAAACAAUAUGGUAGUGCCCAUAUGAAGAAGAUGAAGCUAAUUAAAAAUAGAUGCUCAAAAUGAAUUUUAAACAUUUUACAAUUCAUCGAAAUUUCAGAAAUACAUGGACUUACAGAAAGGCUCUUCAUGAGAAGAUAUUCCACAUUCUCUACGGAAAGUUUGGUGCCCUCUGCAAUGAUAUUCAAUGGAAUGGUACCAUCUUCUGAAGGACGGCUGCAAGAUAAAAUAUCUCAGUUGAAUUUAGCAAUAACUUUCUGAAUCUUGCCCAGCAAUCACACGUAAAAUGAUAUUGUUAACAUACAUGAAGAUGAUAUCCAUCAAGCUGAGAAUGAUUUCUAGUAGAUUCUUCUAAUUCUGAACCAAUGUCGGUUGAGAACUCAGUAGCAUUAUGGACACGACAUAAUUCUUGAUAGCAGAGUAAAUCAUCAUAGUUGGAUGCCUGGAGUAUCUAGUAGAGCCGCUCAACCUUUUUCCCCUAGAGACUUUCUAUCUGUAGGAGUUGGUAAAACAUUUGGCUCCAAUGAAGACAUUGUGCAGUUCUCUUUUGGUAAAUCAUCAGGCGCAAUAGCUCGCUGGGCCUAGGGAUGAUUGCUGCAGAAUUCUUAACGGAUUAGAAUUGGAGCAUCCAGUCAACACCAAAGGAUUAAAUAUGAUAAAGCUCAAAAUUACACCAUUACUCAAAGCCUGUAAAAUACACUUGACCCAACAGCUGCAGGAAAUACUGAGAGGGUUGUUUCUGGAAUAAGGUUGAGCUGAAGGUGUUUUAUGACUCUAUUGGACCAUCAUCUCCAAGGAGGCCAAAUAUGUGGAGGUUCCGUUCCAUUGAUCCCAUAGCCAAGUAUUUUGCACCUAUCUAGACCAAAUUUUACUCAAGUUGCUUUGCCUGCAUGCAGGACUAGAAGAAGUCAUAUUGAAGAUUGUAAUGGAAGAAUGAUAAGACAGCAAGAUAAAUGUGACACAAGUUUGCAAGAAAAUGAGACAAAACCUGUGCCAGACAAAAUAGUGAAAGUUUUGAUUCAGUUCCACUCCGAUUUUACAUUGGCAACUUGGUAAAAACUCUGCAAAACCAGAAGCCUUAAUACCAAUUUCCAGUUAAGCAUAAGAAGUUCUAAGGUUUCAUUAAAAACCCACCUAUUGUAAUCUUUCAAAAUACAUGAAAGGAAAUGAACUUGCAUAUAACAGGAUAGUUUAACAACUUCAAAAACUAGGUUUUAGAGAACUGCCAUCUGAAAAUAUUUUAAAGAUAGGCAUAUGUAAAUUAAUCAUAACGGCUAGUAUCAGAAAAAAGAAAAACCAAUUUAACAAAAAAAAAAAAGGCUAGCUAAAUAAAUUUAUAUUGCUUGCCAUUGCAAAGGUCUAUCAUGGAGGAAAUUACAAGCUGCCACAUGAACCACAAAAGAAAAGUACCUUGCAAAUUUUAGAAUUUACUUGAGACACAAUUUGACACUGAAUAUUCAUUUUCUAGAGAAGUUCCCACCAAUUUUGAGGCUAUCUUCCACACAACUUCUGAAUUUCUUUUGGUCAGAAACCAAUUGUUUGGGCUAUAGGACUGACAUGUUUUCAGUAGAAUGUGAAGAAUAUGCACAACUAUAUUACAUGAAGGUGGAUUGAACUUACUUUCCACCAACAUAAGGAAUGCCCUUCCUUGAAUUGGCAGGAAUCUCACCUUGAAACCCAGGCAUAAUUUGUCAUUUCCUGCACAAUUUUGGGAUCAUCAGUGUAGCUCUUGUAGCAUCAACCCCACGUUGGAUCUCUGCAUACAUAUUAUAUAUAGAGGGGUCCAAGAUUAGAAUAGUUUGAGAGCCAUAUGUCAUUUCAUUAAUACCAAAAUUUUAUUCAAAUGAUUUUCAAUAGUACACCACAAUACAGGAUGCCAAGGCAUAUGUACAACAAGUAGCUCUAACUUCAAGGGCAAUUGUAGGAUGACAUAAUCAGCCAAGUAAUGAUCAAACAUCCUCUGCAAUAAAAUACUUAACCUAAGUUAGAGUAUUUUGAGAAUAGGAAGAGUGAUACACCAAAUUCCCUUUCAAUGAAAUAGAAUAUGAAGAUCAAGAAAAGUAAUUACCAUUACUGUCAGUAUAUUUCAGAGUAUUUAGAUUCCCAUGCUCAAGAAAAUUUAGAACAGUGGGGAAACCAAAUUUUCUUAUGAUUUAGUACUACGUGUGCUCCUCACCAAAGUGUUAGUAUUCUACCGUAUAUGAGAACAAACUAAAAAAGCUCAGAAUUGUGGAGAAAAAAAUUAUAUAAAGGGCAGCAAUAAAUUAAUAAUCCAAAAACUAAAAGCACAGAGAGAGAGAGAGAGAGGAAUUAUAGACCUCAAUAAUGAAGAGAUUAUAGACAACAGACAAAAAUGAAAGAAAACAUAUAGGUUUAGGAGAACGAUGAAAUUAAAAAAAAAAAAAUUAAUUAAAGUGAGCUCUCUUUCCAUAUGCAUCAACCAUUAAUAAGCCAUACACAUUUAUCUCUCGAAUAUUGAACCAAUGAGUAAGUUCUCAACAUUAUCUAAACUUUGGACAGAAAACACGGCAACUUAUGAUUUAUUGGAAAAUGAUUAGUCAUUAAUGAUAACAAGCAUGAAAUAAAUUUCAAAACUAACCUAAUUAUUCAACAAACAUGCACAGUGAACUUAAAUAACAUUAUUAAUCUUUCCAAAAGUAAUUGGUUGGCUUAAUUAUAAGUACAUUCAUCCAAAAAUAUUAAAUUAACUCACAAUUCAAAACCAUGGAGAAGGUUUGCCUAACAUGGAAUCUAUUUAAGAUUUCAUAUCUUCAGUAAACUACUUUUGCAUCAGAAAAACAAAAAUAGAGGGCAACAAUUUUGGAAGACCAACAGUAUAAUGAUAAAAAAAUGGUCAAAAAAAAUGGAGGGAUUGCACUCCUGAAAAAUAUUAUAGAUGACAUGCUUGAAUGAAAGAGCAUAGUAGUCCUCUUGACAUCUUUCAAUAAGUAUAACAUUCUGAUUUUCAUGUAUACAUUAUCAAGUAUGGAUAUAAUGUCACUUACUCUGGCAAUGGUACUCCCUUUCAAAGUACUUUUUCAAACUAUUGAGUCUGGCUACUUCAGAUAUGAGAAGAAUAGUGCUACCUUCAAUGGUCAAUGCAAACCAUUUAGGUUCCCAAGCUUGAGAAGCUUCAAAGAUGGGAAUUAACCAAACUCAUGUUUUACUGAUUCAGCAGUAUAUGCUGCUCACUCAACUCUCAGCUAUAGACUACACAUGGGAAUAAAAAAAUCAACAUUGCAAGCAAAGUAGAACACUUUUUUAACAAACUGAUUGAGAAGUAAUAAACAAUAAAGGGAUCAAAAGCAUAAACCUGAAUAGAAAGAAUGAUUGUGACCAGUAACAAAAACUGAGGGCUAAGGUUGGUGAUGCAAUUGAGAUAACCCUUUUCAUAUUCAUCAGCCAUCCAUAACUGGCCAACAUUUGUCUCUGGAACAUUGAAGGGCUCAAACAGCAUAACUGUGUUGUCACGGUGGCUCAAGCACUCACAAAUAGCAUGGAAAACAAU